GAAUUAAAAAGUAAAAAUGAAAAUGCCAUACCAUAAUCGAUUUCUCAGAGACGCCAAUCAACUGGGCAAUGCGGCGACGACUUUCUCGAUUGGGAAAUGGAUCUGUGGUGAACUCUGCUUCCAGUAGCUCCAGCUGGACCUCGUCGUAAAAGUGGCGCUGACGUCCUGAUCCGGAAGAAGAUUUCGAAGUGGAAACAACUGGAUAACAAUCUGCAAUUGCUUUCUUACUCUAGCGGAAUCUCCUUCUUGUAGAGAGAUUUAAAUUCAUUAUUAAUCCGCUGAAGCUGAUCCGGCGGAAGUACUCAAUCGUUAUUGCUGUCCAGGAUCAACAGCUUAUUAAAGGAUUCAGGUAUUUGACCUUACGCAGUUUUUUCUUUUCUUUGCCGGUAUCAGUUAAUCCAAAAUAUCUAGGCAUUUCGAUGUUGAACUUAUCAAAUGGCCCAACAUUGAAAUUGGUUUGUUAAACGACAAGUAAUUAUUAUAACUGUAUUUGCGAGGAGCAUUUUGAGGCAAAGGAAUGUUUCAAACCUUUUAUUUUAUAUUUAAAAAAAUCAAAGCCUUUGUUACAUAAUGUGUUGUUGUUCUGAAUUUAAAAAAAAAUGCAACUAAACGAAAGAUUGCGUGAAACGAUAGCGUUUCGACAGCGCAUCUAAAGCGUU
Long non-coding RNA from Daphnia pulex (common water flea), 659 nucleotides. RefSeq lists it as uncharacterized. Lineage: Eukaryota; Metazoa; Arthropoda; Branchiopoda; Diplostraca; Daphniidae. The transcript has 2 exons. The record is from RefSeq and is a predicted model, not a curated record.